UACGUAGGGUGCUAGCGUUGUUCGGAAUCAUUGGGCGUAAAGCGCGUGUAGGCGGUUAGUUAAGUCAGAUGUGAAAUCCCUGGGCUCAACCGAGGAAGUGCAUUUGAAACUAACUAGCUGGAGAGUGGUAGAGGGCGGUGGAAUUCCGUGUGUAGAGGUGAAAUUCGUAGAUAUACGGAGGAAUACCGGUGGCGAAGGCGGCCGCCUGGACCAUUUCUGACGCUGAGACGCGAAAGCGUGGGGAGCAAACAGG
RNAcentral lists this ribosomal RNA (253 nucleotides) under uncultured bacterium. RNAcentral's name for it is "partial 16S ribosomal RNA". It matches the Rfam family "Bacterial small subunit ribosomal RNA", at positions 524 to 776 of the family's 1533-position model. The record is from RNAcentral.